UUGACCAAUGAUGGCUAUGUGUUGUGAAUUAAGAAUCAUGAUUAAUCCAUUUCAGCACAACUGAAUUCAUUA
Molecule: small nucleolar RNA, 72 nt
Filed under: Otolemur garnettii (small-eared galago)
Lineage: Eukaryota; Metazoa; Chordata; Mammalia; Primates; Galagidae
Description: Small nucleolar RNA SNORD112 (ENSOGAG00000023585.1)
Source: RNAcentral